GACGAACGCUGGCGGCGUGCUUAACACAUGCAAGUCGAACGGAAAGGCCCUGCUUUUGUGGGGUGCUCGAGUGGCGAACGGGUGAGUAACACGUGAGAAACCUGCCCUUGACUUUGGGAUAACUUCAGGAAACUGGGGCUAAUACCGGAUAGGAGCUCCUGCUGCAUGGUGGGGGUUGGAAAGUUUCGGCGGUUGGGGAUGGACUCGCGGCUUAUCAGCUUGUUGGUGGGGUAGAGGCUUACCAAGGCUUUGACGGGUAGCCGGCCUGAGAGGGUGACCGGCCACAUUGGGACUGAGAUACGGCCCAGACUCCUACGGGAGGCAGCAGUGGGGAAUAUUGCACAAUGGGCGGAAGCCUGAUGCAGCAACGCCGCGUGCGGGAUGACGGCCUUCGGGUUGUAAACCGCUUUCGCCUGUGACGAAGCGUGAGUGACGGUAAUGGGUAAAGAAGCACCGGCUAACUACGUG
This 468-nucleotide ribosomal RNA is filed under the name uncultured bacterium. Its description in RNAcentral is "partial 16S ribosomal RNA". It matches the Rfam family "Bacterial small subunit ribosomal RNA", at positions 28 to 507 of the family's 1533-position model. The record is from RNAcentral.